This 342-nucleotide long non-coding RNA is filed under the name Homo sapiens (human). RNAcentral's name for it is "non-protein coding lnc-EXOC2-10:1". The record is from RNAcentral. Lineage: Eukaryota; Metazoa; Chordata; Mammalia; Primates; Hominidae.
GAGGGUUUGGUUUCACUGUGAAGGGGGCGUGCCGCUGCCAGGGAUUUCUCACUUUAUUUUUUUCAAAUGCUGCUGCCAAGCCUCAGAUUCACAUUUCCUAGCUUCCCCCUUGCUCUUUAUAAUUGAUGACGCUGGGGACAGUCAAGUGAUUGCAUACUGGCUGCACUUCAACACAUCCUCUGAUAAAAAGGAGAGGAAAAUGAAGUCAUGCUAGAUUCCACAUCACUUUUUUGUUCCAGGAUGUACUUCCCUAGACUGGAGCAGCUCCCUGGGACUCUGCCAUGCAAUGGGGCACGUGCAACCAGCCAAGCUACCCCCGCCAGGGCAUUUACACACCAACUC